RNAcentral lists this ribosomal RNA (610 nucleotides) under Viridibacillus sp. enrichment culture clone CB1-8 4b3. RNAcentral describes it as "partial 16S ribosomal RNA". It matches the Rfam family "Bacterial small subunit ribosomal RNA", at positions 1 to 585 of the family's 1533-position model. Lineage: Bacteria; Bacillati; Bacillota; Bacilli; Caryophanales; Caryophanaceae. The record is from RNAcentral.
CCGCGGGAAUUCGAUUAGAGUUUGAUCCUGGCUCAGGACGAACGCUGGCGGCGUGCCUAAUACAUGCAAGUCGAGCGAAUGAUGAAGAAGCUUGCUUCUUCUGAUUUAGCGGCGGACGGGUGAGUAACACGUGGGCAACCUACCUAGUAAUUGGGAUAACUCCGGGAAACCGGGGCUAAUACCGAAUAAUCCAUUUUGUCACAUGGCAAAAUGCUGAAAGGCGGUUUCGGCUGUCACUACUAGAUGGGCCCACGGUGCAUUACUAGUUGGUGGGGUAAUGGCCUACCAAGGCAACGAUGCAUAGCCGACCUGAGAGGGUGAUCGGCCACAUUGGGACUGAGACACGGCCCAAACUCCUACGGGAGGCAGCAGUAGGGAAUCUUCCACAAUGGACGAAAGUCUGAUGGAGCAACGCCGCGUGAGUGAUGAAGGUUUUCGGAUCGUAAAACUCUGUUGUAAGGGAAGAACAAGUACGUUAGUAACUGAACGUACCUUGACGGUACCUUAUUAGAAAGCCACGGCUAACUACGUGCCAGCAGCCGCGGUAAUACGUAGGUGGCAAGCGUUGUCCGGAUUUAUUGGGCGUAAAGCGCGCGCAGGUGGUUUCUUA